GUUUUGGAAGCGUUCAAAACAACAUAGCUCUAAAAC
RNAcentral lists this non-coding RNA (36 nucleotides) under Enterococcus thailandicus. The record is from RNAcentral. Lineage: Bacteria; Bacillati; Bacillota; Bacilli; Lactobacillales; Enterococcaceae.